GCGUCUUAAGCAUGCAAGUCGAGCGGGCUUAUUCGGGCAACUGGAUAAGUUAGCGGCGAACUGGUGAGUAACACGUAGGUAAUCUGCCGUGAAGUGGGGGAUAACCCAUGGAAACAUGGACUAAUACCGCAUAUACUCUUGCUACAUAAGUAGAGUAGAGGAAAGUUUUUUCGCUUCACGAUGAGCCUGCGGCCUAUUAGCCUGUUGGUAGGGUAAUGGCCUACCAAAGCUACGAUAGGUAGCCGACCUGAGAGGGUGACCGGCCACAUUGGGACUGAGAUACGGCCCAGACUCCUACGGGAGGCAGCAGCUGAGAAUCUUCCACAAUGGACGAAAGUCUGAUGGAGCGACAUCGCGUGAGGGAUGAAGGCCUUCGGGUUGUAAACCUCGGAAAUUAUCGAAGAAUGAGUGACAGUAGAUAAUGUAAGCCUCGGCUAACUACGUGCCAGCAGCCGCGGUAAUACGUAGGAGGCAAACGUUGCUCGGAUUUACUGGGCGUAAAGGGUGAGUAGGCGGAUUUAUAAGUCUAAGGUGAAAGACCGAAGCUCAACUUCGGGAACGCCUUGGAUACUGUAAGUCUUGGAUAUUGUAGGGGGAUGAUGGAAUUCUCGGUGUAGCGGUGGAAUGCGCAGAUAUCGAGAGGAACACCUAUAGCGAAGGCAGUCAUCUGGGCAUUUAUCGACGCUGAAUCACGAAAGCUAGGGGAGCAAACAGGCUUAGAUACCCUGGUAGUCCUAGCCGUAAACGUUGUACACUAGGUGCUCCUAUUUAAAUAGGAGUGCCGUAGCUAACGUCUUAAGUGUACCGCCUGAGGAGUAUGCCCGCAAGGGUGAAACUUAAAGAAAUUGACGGGUCCCCGCACAAGUGGUGGAGCAUGUGGUUUAAUUCGAUGAUACGCGAAAAACCUUACCUGGGUUUGAAUUGUUAGAUGAAUGAUUUAGAGAUAAGUCAGACCGCAAGGGACGUUUAACAUAGGUGCUGCAUGGCUGUCGUCAGCUCGUGUCGUGAGAUGUUGGGUUUAAGUCCCGCAACGAGCGCAACCCUCACCCUCUGUUGCUACCGAGUAAUGUCGAGCACUCUUAGGGGACUGCCUACGUUCAAGUAGGAGGAAGGUGGGGAUGAUGUCAAGUCCUCAUGGCCCUUAUGUCCAGGGCUACACACGUGCUACAAUGGCAAGUACAAAGAGAAGCAAGACCGCGAGGUGGAGCAAAACUCAAAAAAGUUGCCUCAGUUCGGAUUGGAGUCUGAAACUCGACUCCAUGAAGUUGGAAUCACUAGUAAUCGUAGAUCAGAACGCUACGGUGAAUACGUUCCCGGGGAUUGUACACACCGCCCGUCACGCCAUCGGAGUUGGUUUUACCUGAAGCCGUUAGCCUAACCGCAAGGAGGGCGGCGUCGAAGGUGG
Molecule: ribosomal RNA, 1405 nt
Filed under: Brachyspira pilosicoli
Lineage: Bacteria; Pseudomonadati; Spirochaetota; Spirochaetia; Brachyspirales; Brachyspiraceae
Description: 16S ribosomal RNA
Rfam family: Bacterial small subunit ribosomal RNA
Source: RNAcentral